RNAcentral lists this transfer RNA (82 nucleotides) under Clostridia bacterium. RNAcentral's name for it is "tRNA-Leu". It matches the Rfam family "tRNA". Rfam says of the family: Transfer RNA (tRNA) molecules are approximately 80 nucleotides in length. The record is from RNAcentral. RNAcentral also lists the same sequence under 1 other name. Lineage: Bacteria; Bacillati; Bacillota; Clostridia.
GCGAGAGUGGCGGAAUUGGCAGACGCGCACGUUUGAGGGGCGUGUGGAUUUCUCCGUACGGGUUCAAGUCCCGUUUCUCGCA